CGUGGAGGGACUUACUCAACAGGCCGAUGUAUCAUGGUUGGACCUUCUGGUUCCUCUCAGAACAGCUAUUCAGGCAGUCAGGGUGGAGUAGUCUACACAAUAAGCAAGAGUGGAUGUACACCUGUAAGCACUAUUUUUACAUUCUCUUUUUUGUCCCCAGCAUAACUAUAUUUAUGGUAACUUUCAAUGGCAUUAUUUGAUAAAUGUUUA
Molecule: non-coding RNA, 210 nt
Organism: Lonchura striata (white-rumped munia)
Lineage: Eukaryota; Metazoa; Chordata; Aves; Passeriformes; Estrildidae
Source: RefSeq, a predicted model, not a curated record